CCUACGGGUGGCUGCAGUGAGGGAUAUUGGUCAAUGGGGGAAACCCUGAACCAGCACCGCCGCUUGCGUUCCGCCUGUUUUCUUCUUUUCCCCCUCUUUCCUCUGUGCCGCUGCUGCCGGUCGCAGAGGAGGAAGCUCCGGCUAACUACGUGCCAGCAGCCGCGGUAAUACGUAGGGAGCACGCGUUGUCCGGCUUUCCUGGGUGUACAGGUUGCGUCGGCGGCCUUGCAAGUCCGAAGUGAACUCCCUGGGCUUAACCCAUGAACUGCUUUUGAAACUGCAGAGCUUGAGUGGAGUAGAGGUAGGCGGAAUGCCCGGUGUAGCGGUGAAAUGCGUAGAGAUCGGGAGGAACACCAGUGGCGAAGGCGGCCUGCUGGGCUCUAACUGACGCUGAGGCACGAAAGCGUGGGUAGCAAACAGGAUUAGAUACCCGAGUAGUC
Molecule: ribosomal RNA, 440 nt
Filed under: uncultured bacterium
Lineage: Bacteria
Description: partial 16S ribosomal RNA
Rfam family: Bacterial small subunit ribosomal RNA
Source: RNAcentral